CACCAGCCCCUCGAGUGGUGGGGAUGAUUAUUUGGCCUAAAGCGUCCGUAGCCGGCCGGGUAAGUUUCCCGUUAAAUCCAACGUCUCAAGCGUUGGACCGCGGGAAAUACUGCCUGGCUAGAGAGUGGGAGAGGUAAGCGGUAUUCUGGGGGUAGGGGCGAAAUCCUUUGAUCCCCGGAGGACCACCAGUGGCGAAGGCUGCUUACUAGAACACGUCUGACGGUCAGGGACGAAAGCUGGGGUAGCGAACCGAAUUAGAUACCCCGGGUAGUCCCCAGCUGUAAACGAUGCAUGCUAGGUGUUGGGUUGGCCACGAGCCACCCCAGUGCCGCAGGGAAGCCGUUAAGCAUGCCGCCUGGGAAGUACGAUCGCAAGAUUGAAACUUAAAGGAAUUGGCGGGGGAGCACCACCAGGCGUGAAGCCUGCGGUUU
This 431-nucleotide ribosomal RNA is filed under the name uncultured archaeon. RNAcentral's name for it is "bacterial SSU rRNA". It matches the Rfam family "Archaeal small subunit ribosomal RNA", at positions 474 to 903 of the family's 1478-position model. The record is from RNAcentral.